CAAGUCUCGCGGCAGGUCUGUACAAUACCAUAAGCUCAAACAAGCAUGAGGGUAAAUUUCAAUUUGUAAUUUCUCGAUCACCCAAAACUUUGCCUAUUAGAUGCCGCUUUAGAGCAUCGUUUACAGCGAACGACUGUGUUUUUUGUUGUUGUGGCAGAGCAUACGACUAAUCGAGCCCAGUGGUCAGCUGCUGCACACAACCGCUAGCCGCACAACAAUUGCCCGACAAAUUAACCGAUUGUUUGCAAAUCAUUUGAAUGCAUUUUUAUACACAAUUACACAUAUGUAUACGUUGCAAUGAGUAAACAAACUCGUUAUAUUUCAAUUUUCAUUUGCCACAAGCACUGCAGUUGUUUUGCUUUUUCAAUUUUAUACCAAGCAAAUUCAUUUAAUUUCCUAUUACAGCAGUUUGUUUUGCUUAUAUUUAUGACAAUUCCUGUCUUUCUGUGUGAAUCUAACACAAUCGUAUUUUUGCAGGUUUGUUCUUUUACUUUACUUCAUAUUUGCAUACUACACGAGCAAUUUAACAUUAUCAACGCCAGCCAUUACUAGUGACAAUUGGUUGCAACUUGCAGCAAACAGCAUGUAUCACAACAACAACAAUUUGGCAGUGUGUUAACACUUAGCGAUCGUCCAUGGAGUGACUGUGGGAGUUGUGUGAAAGUCGCUUUGACUGCUUUGCAGAUGAAAUGUCGGUAUGCAGCAGCAGACAGACGCGCAUUAGAUAAGAUAAGAAAAGUAGAGAAGAAGUAUGGCGGUGUUACUUUUGAAAUGAAAAGGUGGUACGUAUGGAUGUGCCUUGCGAUUGUGUAAUCGCAUUUAGAGCCCAAAACUCAGCUACGGCAUCAUAAAAAUAUUCUACUAAUAAUCGUUUUCAUUUACUAUCUACGAACUACAAACAUAAACUUUAUGAUGUA
Long non-coding RNA from Bactrocera neohumeralis, 917 nucleotides. RefSeq lists it as uncharacterized. NCBI's taxonomy places the organism in Eukaryota, Metazoa, Arthropoda, Insecta, Diptera, Tephritidae. The record is from RefSeq and is a predicted model, not a curated record. The transcript has 2 exons.